AGGACGAACGCUGGCGGCGUGCUUAACACAUGCAAGUCGAGCGGAAAGGCCCUUCGGGGUACUCGAGCGGCGAACGGGUGAGUAACACGUGAGUAACCUGCCCCUAGCUCUGGGAUAGCUCCGGGAAACCGGGAUUAAAUACCAGAUACGACCACUUUAGACAUCUGUCGUGGUGGAAAGGAUUCCGGCUAGGGAUGGGCUCGCGGCCUAUCAGCUUGUUGGUGGGUAACGCCUACCAAGGCGACGACGGUA
RNAcentral lists this ribosomal RNA (252 nucleotides) under uncultured bacterium. RNAcentral's name for it is "partial small subunit ribosomal RNA". It matches the Rfam family "Bacterial small subunit ribosomal RNA", at positions 26 to 285 of the family's 1533-position model. The record is from RNAcentral.